UGGGGAAUCUUGCGCAAUGGGCGAAAGCCUGACGCAGCCAUGCCGCGUGGAUGAUGAAGGUCUUAGGAUUGUAAAAUCCUUUCACCGGGGACGAUAAUGACGGUACCCGGAGAAGAAGCCCCGGCUAACUUCGUGCCAGCAGCCGCGGUAAUACGAAGGGGGCUAGCGUUGCUCGGAAUUACUGGGCGUAAAGGGCGCGUAGGCGGACAGUUAAGUUGGGGGUGAAAGCCCGGGGCUCAACCUCGGAAUUGCCUUCAAUACUGGCUGUCUUGAGUACGGGAGAGGUGUGUGGAACUCCGAGUGUAGAGGUGAAAUUCGUAGAUAUUCGGAAGAACACCAGUGGCGAAGGCGACACACUGGCCCGUUACUGACGCUGAGGCGCGAAAGCGUGGGGAGCAAACAGGAUUAGAUACCCUGGUAGUCCACGCCGUAAACGAUGAGUGCUAGUUGUCGGCAUGCAUGCAUGUCGGUGACGCAGCUAACGCAUUAAGCACUCCGCCUGGGGAGUACGGUCGCAAGAUUA
RNAcentral lists this ribosomal RNA (523 nucleotides) under uncultured bacterium. Its description in RNAcentral is "bacterial SSU rRNA". It matches the Rfam family "Bacterial small subunit ribosomal RNA", at positions 355 to 896 of the family's 1533-position model. The record is from RNAcentral.